This 253-nucleotide ribosomal RNA is filed under the name uncultured bacterium. RNAcentral describes it as "partial 16S ribosomal RNA". It matches the Rfam family "Bacterial small subunit ribosomal RNA", at positions 524 to 776 of the family's 1533-position model. The record is from RNAcentral.
UACGUAGGGUGCGAGCGUUAAUCGGAAUUACUGGGCGUAAAGCGUGCGUAGACGGUUAUUUAAGUCGGGUGUGAAAGCCCCGGGCUCAACCUGGGAAUUGCAUUCGAGACUGAAUAGCUAGGGUACGGUAGAGGGAAGCGGAAUUUCCGGUGUAGCGGUGAAAUGCGUAGAUAUCGGAGGGAACAUCAGUGGCGAAAGCGGCUUCCUGGACCAGCACUGACACUAAGGCACGAAAGCGUGGGGAGCAAACAGG